UUAGUAGUAGGUGUAGAGGGGGAGUUAAUGUAACUCCCUUGUCUUUCCCUCAUCUUCUCUCAUUUGCAUUAUAACUACAGAAAAAAUACAGUAGGAAAGAUAUCACUCUGUAUUUUCAACCUAUCUCUCACUCAUACAAAUCUUCCUGAGAAAUUCCCUUUACCAAAAUUUUUUCUUGAAGCUCACACUUCAUUUCCUUGUAUUGUGAGAAUAAUGAGGACUCCUUUUGGUGGUGUUCACUUGGCGGAAGAGUUCCUGUGCUUCUACAAAAGUUUUGUUCAUGAUCUCGAAAGAGAAUGGCAUGAAGAUUGUCAAUUCUUCAUAGGUAAUUUUUCCUCAUCUUUUUAUUCUCAAUGAAUAGUAUGCUUAGCCUUUUAAAUUUGUAAAAUCAUUAUUGAUUUUUCCACUUUCAAUCAAAGACAAAACGUUUAAACGCUUUCGCAUUGGGAUUCAAUCCCUUCAAAAUGACAAUUUGUGUUGGCAAAUCACCUGUUACCAUUUGAUAAGCAAAUAAUUGGCAUGAAUAAGAGCUAAAGGUAAAAGUCUUCUUGAAACAUUAAAUAAUUACUUUCAACCUAAGUCUUCAAGCUAUGGUGAAGAGUUGCAACUAUUCGAGCUUUAAGACCACCCAAAAGACACCAUGAAUUUGAAAUUCUAAAUUCAUCCCAUUACUAAAAACUAUUUUUUUAUAUAUAUAAAACAACUAAGUCAUUGUCAUUCAUACAUUAUAGUCAUAGAAAUUAAUAAAUCAAAAUUAAUUAAUUUAAGAUUAUAAAAGAUAAAAUUAAUAUACAUUUAAUUUUAAAAUGAAUAAAUUAAAAUUUUCUUUUAAAAUAUCAUAAAAGUUGAUGCAAAAUACAUUCAAGGUUAUACAGUUCACCAAACAACCAUUAAAAAAUAAGAAAAAAUCAGAUUACCCAAAUCCAUGUCUGCACCCCAAACACAGGCUUGAAAAUCCCAGGCUACCAAAUCUUGCAUCCCAAACAUAGGCAUUUGUAUCCUAGGCUUGAGAACCCCCUCAAAUAAGCCUUCAGGAAUUUGAUUCUCAGGCUUUUGAUUUCCAACCUGCGCCUCAAACGUCCCCUUAAUUACUUUCUAGUUAAUAUGCCGAUUAAUUUAAAUUUCUAUAAUUUAUUAUUAUUGUUAUUGUUGCUGUUAUUAUUAUUAUUAUUAUUAUUAUUAUUGCACACUUUGGGCAACUUAUAGCCUAUAUUCAAUAUGUGUCAAUGGACGGGGCAUAAAUGUUGAUGGAAUAUCCUAUUCUAUCUUGUAAGAGAAUGACAUAGAUAUUGAUGCAAUUUCUUGAGAUGGUGGCAUAUAUGAAUUGUUUGGAAUUGCAUAUAGACUAUUCUUAGUUACUAGAAUGCUUUGGAAGAGUGAACACAUGAAGGGGUAUCACAAAGACUCCUUUCCAUGUCAAAACGUUGUGGAUGUGUCUUCAUCAUUUCUAAUGACAAAUGUUGGGGUUUUGGACCUCAAUUAGAAAGUACACAUCUUAUUAUAAGAUUGUAUUAAUUAUCCAAAUUUAUAUUACUUAUUCUAUAAAUCGAUUUAAAAAUUCAUCGUACGUUGUUUCAAUCUCUAUGUCAAGCCAUCUCAAUUUAGCUCUAUGGUUGUCUUUUUCACUCUCAUUUGAAACACUAUCAAAAUAAAUCUAUACACUAAGCAUUAAUCAUUUAUAAUUUUAUAAACUUAUAGUAUUAUAAUUAGUGCAAAACAAUCAUAGAGAAUAUUUUUUUUUUUUAAAGAAAAAAACAUAUACUUUGUCCUUACCCAAUCAAAUGUACAUCGGUCUAUAAAACAGAUUACAAGUAUUGGAAAUGAUUUUUGGACUUAGGCCCAUAGGAAAAGUUAAGAGAGUGGGAAGUUUUAUCCCACAUGGAUAGAUUUAGAAUUGCCUAGAGGGUUUAAAUACCAAGGCAUUCUAAAUGAGAAUCCAAAUUGAGUUAGUGGUGGAAGUAUAAUCCUUUCACUACACACGUGUGUCAUUGUUGCCAUUUGCCUAGUCAAACAGUUGGGUUCGGGUAACUAUGCUUGCUUGAAAAAGAAUUAAAUUUUUAUUAUUUAUCCUUUAUAAAUAUUCAUUGAGCUUCUGACUAUUGGUUUCUGUCCAUUAACGAACCUUUCCGUUCGUUGGUAUCCUCCUCUCACACACUAUAUAACACUGUUCAGAUCUAUCAGAGAGGACAUACAACUGAAUUUCAUUCCUUCCUUUCCACUUGAUUCUUAUCGGUUCUAAUCCUUUUUUCGGUGAGUUGUGUUAACCUUGGGGAGCAACCGACAUAAGCGAUUAGUAUCGAGGUCGCGCCGUAUUUGCUUUCAAAGCAGUGAUUUUUCUACGACCCAGCAACUUUCGUGACAUCCAUUUCAAUAAUCUGAAAGAAAAUAACACAGAUGUCGAUCAAGAAUGGUAAAGUUCUCUCUAACGAGUCCAAGCUUGAACCACUAGAUGAAGUAAAUUAUCACCGCUAGUAUUAGAAAUUAUUGAUUUUCUUCGAGCAGCUAGAGAUUGAUUAUAUCCUCAACACAGUAGUGCCUACCAAAAAAGUGAGCAUUGUCUCUUAUCCAGAAUUCUCCGUCCAACCUAUUGAUGUUUCUAAUCAAUCAAAGCAAUUUACAAUUGAUCCUGAUAAGUACAAGAAAGACAACAAAAUAGUCUGCAGGCAUCUGCUGAAUCAUAUGACAGAUUCAAUGUUCGAGUUCUUUGUGGUCCAAAAAUUAGUAAAGGUAAUUUGGAGUACAUUGGAGUCCUGAUAUGGAGGAGAUGAUACUGGUCGCAAAAAGUACAUUGUAGGUAAAUGGUUAUAAUUCUAAAUGACAGACGAGAAAUUGAUAGUGGAGCAGAUACAUGAGUAUGAAAAUUUGGUGGCAAACAUUCUGGCUGAGGGCAUGAAAAUGUGUGAGAUUCUACAAGCUAAUGUGCUGCUUGAGAAAAUUUCCCAUCCUGGAGCAACUACAUAAAUCAUCUAAAAUACAAAAAGAAUGAUCUAACACUUUAGGAGCCAAUCAGUCACAUGCGCACCAAAGAAGCCAACAAACUAAAAGAUAAACUAAUUUCUGGAAAUAUAAAUUUAGUUAAUGCUAUCUUGGUUGAAUCUUUUGUUGUUAACAAAGACAAGUCCAAAAAUCAUAAAAAAAAAUAGUCUGUAAAGAAUAAGACUGAGAAGAAAAAACUGAUUUGUUAUGUCUGUGGGAAAUCAAAACACAAAUCUUAUCAAUGCAGUCAAAGGAAAGGAAGGCCAAGUCAGCAACCCAUACCACAAACUAAUCUUGUUGAACAAGAUGACAUAAUUGUUGCUGUUGUGGAAGCAAACCUGAUAGAAAACAAAACUGACUUCGAGACAUUUAUGUUCAAACUGAGAGCUCUUCCAUGACUAUAAGGACACUGUUGAUAGAGAAUGUGUGUUUAUGGGUAACUCAGCCACAACAAAAGUGCUUGGAAAAGGGAAGGUUCUUUUAAAAUUAACCUUUGGAAAAACUUUAUCCUUAAAUAAUAUAUUGUAUGUACCUUCCUUACGUAGGAACUUGGUAUCGAAGAGCCUAUUGAAUCGGACUGGGCUUAAAAUUGUCCUAGAAGCUAACAAGGUUGUCCUCGCCAAAAAUGGAGACUGUGUUCGGAAGAGAUAUCUUGUUGAUGGUCUUUUUGUACUGAAUACUGUCUCUGUUUCAAAUAUGAUGAAUUUUCAAACAACUCAAUUGAACGGACUAAAGAAGUAGGAAUGGAUCUUCAUUUGCUAUCGUCAAACCUCGAUCGUCGUUUGCCGGCCACCAUCAAUUGUCGUCGUCAAUCAUCGCCAGUCAUAGUCGAAUGAAGAGAGCAAGGUCGUCGCAGUCAUAGUUAGCAAUAUCAGUCAAGGCAUUCAACUUGAAAUCAUAAGGGUUUGUGAUAUUAAUCAUCAUCAAAUUAUUAUUUCUAUUUUAUUUAAUAACUUUGAUGUAAUUCAAGUAUUUUCCAAUUUUAUAUUUUGUAUGACAUCUUAAGUAGGGAUAUUUUUAUCAUUUUUUUUAUUAACAAUGAUGUGGCAUUAGGUUUUUUUUGGGAGGCUAUUAAAGUCUUAUUAUUAGGUCGUUUGAUCAGUUUAUUUAUUUUUUUAUUUUUUAUUAUUAUUUUUUUUUAAUGUUUGAAUUCUUUAGGGUUUAUUCUAAAUGGAAAUAUUUUGUGGA
Benincasa hispida (wax gourd) is the source of this 4164-nucleotide non-coding RNA. The record is from RefSeq and is a predicted model, not a curated record. NCBI's taxonomy places the organism in Eukaryota, Viridiplantae, Streptophyta, Magnoliopsida, Cucurbitales, Cucurbitaceae.